This 492-nucleotide ribosomal RNA is filed under the name uncultured bacterium. Its description in RNAcentral is "partial 16S ribosomal RNA". It matches the Rfam family "Bacterial small subunit ribosomal RNA", at positions 29 to 507 of the family's 1533-position model. The record is from RNAcentral.
AGUGAACGCUGGCGGUAGGCCUAACACAUGCAAGUCGAACGGCAGCACAGUAAGAGCUUGCUCUUACGGGUGGCGAGUGGCGGACGGGUGAGGAAUACAUCGGAAUCUACUUUUUCGUGGGGGAUAACGUAGGGAAACUUACGCUAAUACCGCAUACGACCUACGGGUGAAAGCAGGGGAUCUUCGGACCUUGCGUGAUUGAAUGAGCCGAUGUCGGAUUAGCUAGUUGGCGGGGUAAAGGCCCACCAAGGCGACGAUCCGUAGCUGGUCUGAGAGGAUGAUCAGCCACACUGGAACUGAGACACGGUCCAGACUCCUACAGGAGGCAGCAGUGGGGAAUAUUGGACAAUGGGCGCAAGCCUGAUCCAGCCAUACCGCGUGGGUGAAGAAGGCCUUCGGGAUGUAAAGCCCUUUUGUUGGGAAAGAAAAGCAGCAGGUUAAUACCCCGCUGUUCUGACGGUACCCAAAGAAUAAGCACCGGCUAACUUCGUG